RNAcentral lists this long non-coding RNA (483 nucleotides) under Salmo salar (Atlantic salmon). Its description in RNAcentral is "lncRNA (ENSSSAG00000120447.1)". The record is from RNAcentral. Lineage: Eukaryota; Metazoa; Chordata; Actinopteri; Salmoniformes; Salmonidae.
GUUUGUUAUUAUCCUUCUGGGAUGAAUACCUAUUUCUCGGUUGUUAAAUUAUCGCAAUUUUACAUAAAAAAAUACUCUAAAGGAUUGAUUGUAAACAUCGUUUGACAUGUUUCUACAAACGGUAAUGGAACUUUUGAACAUUUUGUCUAUGGAUUUGUGUCCACGCCAUAUGGCAUUGUAAAGUGUUCUAGAUGGGUCAACAAAACGGAUGUAUUUGGACAUAAAUGAUGUACUUUGCAGAACAAAUGAACAAUUCUUGUGGAAGUGGGUGCCCUUCCGAGUGCAUUCCGCCGAAGAUCAGCAAAGAUCUUCAAGCAGUGGAGAUGAGGAUAAUAAUGAAACUGGAGAUGAUCCGUACAGAGUUCAAGACUGCUCUGAACCAAGUUAUGGAGGCCAUAGAGGCCCGGCAGCCAAUGGAGUCAGAGUCCUUGGGGCAACUUGAAAUGCUGCAAAACCCUACAGAAACAAAUGAGGAACUGAAGG